Molecule: unclassified non-coding RNA, 270 nt
Filed under: fungal sp.
Lineage: Eukaryota; Fungi
Description: partial internal transcribed spacer region
Rfam family: Eukaryotic small subunit ribosomal RNA (bases 1-46)
Source: RNAcentral
AAGUCGUAACAAGGUUUCCGUAGGUGAACCUGCGGAAGGAUCAUUACCAAAUUUUCCCACAAUCUUGCAAAACACCAUGUGUGAACAGGAUGAAAUUAGCUCAUUUGGCUGGCGUGCGUCGUGAAAACGGGGUACGCGGCCAGAUGUGUUUAACCCCAAUGUCAACCUUUGCAUCUCUUUUUUUAUCAUGUUGAUCUCCUCAUCGCAAGGUGGGAUGGAUCGAUUACAAAAACUAAAAAACAACUUUUAACGGUGGAUCUCUUGGCUCGC